Molecule: long non-coding RNA, 666 nt
Filed under: Homo sapiens (human)
Lineage: Eukaryota; Metazoa; Chordata; Mammalia; Primates; Hominidae
Description: HSALNT0091254
Source: RNAcentral
AUUGACUAAUCCUACAACCUGUGGAACUGCUCUCUUUACAUUUUUCCUCGGCCUUUUUCAGAGACCAUAAAUGAAUAAGACAGAGAAACUGACAGGAGGAAAGCAAGCUGCCAGAGCUUAGAGCUGUUCUUUUGUCUGUACUGUUCAGGAACUGAAUCUUAUUCAAAUUCAUAGUAAUUUUUUUUCAAGCCAAGCCAACUCACAUUGGGAAUUGGAACUCUGCAUAAUGCUAGACGAGCUAACACAAUGGAGUCUCACCAUGUACCCAAGCUGGUCUUAAACUCCUGGCCUCAAGUGAUCCUCCUGCCUUGGCCUCCCAAAGCACUGGGAUUACAGAUGUGAGCCACCAUGCCCAGCCUGUCAACUUCUUAAAAUGUUCCUUUUUCCCCAAUUGUCUCUAACUAUAUGUUCUGGUCAACGUGACUACUCUAUCUUCAAAAGACUUCAUAUGAAACUUUGUUGUUUUUUCUUUCUCUAUAUAUUCCUAAUAGCUAGAACAGUGCCUGAUACAUAGUAGGUACUGAAUUAGCACUCUUUACAAAAAAUAAAGAAAAUACUAUAUACAGCCCAGCGACUCCGGCAUUUGUACUUCUAUCCUAGUCCUCUCUCUGAUUUCCAGGUCUGUAUAUUCCACUGACUACUUGGUUGUCCCCAACUGAUUACUUC